Long non-coding RNA from Quercus lobata, 612 nucleotides. RefSeq lists it as uncharacterized. The record is from RefSeq and is a predicted model, not a curated record. The transcript has 3 exons. Lineage: Eukaryota; Viridiplantae; Streptophyta; Magnoliopsida; Fagales; Fagaceae.
CUGAAUUCUCACUUCACUUUUGUCUCUUUUUCUCUUAAGGAAAGUGCUAGGAAGCUCCCUUGAGUCUUUCUCUUGAGUCCAAGGGUUCACACACACACCAAAAGAAAGAUAAGUGUCCAUCUUAUCUCAUAUUUGACUCCUUCAAAGAACCUACAACAAUCAAGAACUCUCUCCCUCUUUCAUUCCUACGGGUCCAACACAAAAAGAAGGAAAAGCUUUCAAUUAUUUUCUCCCUUUCACACCUACAAGUCCAGCAGCAAGAAGGAAGCUUCUUUCAACUCUCUCAAGCUCUCUACCUCUCAUACUUUCUGGUCCAGCCACUAGGAAAGGGAAAUCCUUUCAUGUGUUACCAGUAUCCAAGUCUACGCUCCUUCGACUUUAGGCUUUCGAUUCCUCUACUUUCAGUAGGUUUUAUUUUGGAGCAGAGAGAACCUUAGUCAAGUUUGGAAGGAGCUGGUUUUAGUUUUAUAUGUAUAGAUCCUAAAUUAGUAAUUUGAUGUUUAGCUUUAUUGUAUUGUGUAUUUUAGGAUUUAAGGAAAAUUGUAUACCUUAAAGUAUUAAGAGAUGUAUUAUGUGAAAGUGUGAAAAUUAAAUGAUUGGUGGAUUAUGUUA